CUUUAGUUUGAAACCCCGAAACCAGGUGAGCUACCCCGAGACAGCCUAUUAAAAUAGGGCUAACCCGUCUCUGUGGCAAAAGAGUGGGAAGAGCUCCGGGUAGAAGUGACAGACCUACCGAACCUGGUGAUAGCUGGUUGCCUGAGAAAUGGAUAGAAGUUCAGCCUCGCACACCCCAAAUCAAAAAUCUUUACCCAAGAUAAUGGGAAAAGUACGAAAGUUAGUUAAAGGGGGUACAGCCCCUUUAACAAAGGAUACAACCUUAACAGGAGAAUAAAGAUCAAAAUACAGAAAACAUCCUGUUCUAGUGGGCCUAAAAGCAGCCACCUAAAUAGAAAGCGUUAAAGCUCAGACAGAAAAAAGUUUAUUAUACUGAUAACAAAUCUUAUUUCCCUAAUAAUAUCAGGCUAUCCUAUGCCCCCAUAGGAGAAAUUAUGCUAAAAUGAGUAACAAGAAGACUUGCUCUUCUCCUAGCACAAGUGUAACCCAGAUCGGACAAACCACUGGAAACUAACGAACCCAAUUAACAGAGGGUAGUGUAGACAACAAAAAAACCAAGAAGAGCCUACAACUCAAACAUCGUUAACCCCACACUGGAGUGCUAUAUUAUAGGAAAGACUAAAAGAAAGGGAAGGAACUCGGCAAACACAAGCCUCGCCUGUUUACCAAAAACAUCGCCUCCUGCAACUAUAUUAAGUAUAGGAGGUCCAGCCUGCCCAGUGACUUUGGGUUCAACGGCCGCGGUAUUUUGACCGUGCAAAGGUAGCGCAAUCACUUGUCUUUUAAAUAGAGACCUGUAUGAAUGGCCAAACGAGGGCUUAACUGUCUCCCCCUUCCAGUCAGUGAAAUUGAUCUAUCCGUGCAGAAGCGGGUAUAAAUAUACAAGACGAGAAGACCCUUUGGAGCUUAAGGUACAAAAUCCACCCAUGUUAAACAACUUAUUAAAAAGCAAGAACUUAAUGGAAAAUGGACACUUACCUUCGGUUGGGGCGACCGCGGAGGAAAAACCAGCCUCCGAGUGGAAUGGGCCAAACCCCUAAAACUAAGAGAAACAUCUCUAAGCCACAGAACAUCUGACCAAAAAUGAUCCGACACACAGUCGAUCAACGAACCAAGUUACCCUAGGGAUAACAGCGCAAUCCCCUCCCAGAGUCCAUAUCGACGAGGGGGUUUACGACCUCGAUGUUGGAUCAGGACAUCCUAAUGGUGCAGCCG
RNAcentral lists this ribosomal RNA (1215 nucleotides) under Pseudorasbora pumila (moroco). RNAcentral describes it as "partial 16S ribosomal RNA". It matches the Rfam family "Bacterial large subunit ribosomal RNA", at positions 700 to 2561 of the family's 2925-position model. Lineage: Eukaryota; Metazoa; Chordata; Actinopteri; Cypriniformes; Gobionidae. The record is from RNAcentral.